RNAcentral lists this long non-coding RNA (1307 nucleotides) under Setaria viridis. RNAcentral describes it as "long non-coding RNA (SVIR_LNC006128)". Lineage: Eukaryota; Viridiplantae; Streptophyta; Magnoliopsida; Poales; Poaceae. The record is from RNAcentral.
UAUCUGCGGCAUUAGUUUAUCAUCAGGUGAGCAGAGGUUGGCUCCCUCCACUGGUACAGAAUCGAGAUCCAGCGGAUCAGUGGCGUGGUGGGACGGCACUGGAUCGCCUGGGUACGCCCGCUCAGCGCAACGGGUGGUAGCCGAUCGGUUACCAUCACCGCGCACGGCGGCACGAGGCAGGAGGAAGCGCCCGGCAAGUGUCGUGCUCCGGAGCCUGGAUUACGGUGAAUCUGACGACCGGAGCCGUGUUCCGCGGCCAAAUUGAAUCUGACGAUUCGGCGCGGAGGAAGCCGGAAAACCUCCGUGCAGAGGAGUGAGGAGAGCAGUUCCACUUCCACCUCGGAUUCUCGGUUCAGCGCAGCUGGACAGCACGCGAGAGAGCCGAGAGGGGAAAGUAAAGGGUGAAUGAAUCGGCUCAACUGCAGUGCAGUUCUAAAAUUAAGCACAAUGUUGGUCUUUAUAAAAAAAAAUAAAACACAGUGUUACCAACGAAACCAUGUUAUAGCACCAUAACUGAUAACUCAUCGAAACCAUGUUAUAACUGAUAACUCAUCGAAACCAUGUUAUAGGUUAUCUCUUAGAACUUGGAACGCAAGAACAGCAAGGAGUCCUUUUCUCUCUACAUCGAUUCACAGGACCCUAAAAACUGCGUGUUCCAGGAGCCAAGAACCUGAAGAUGAGCGCACGAAAGGGGAAGGGAAUCCAAGGGGCAAAACUUGGCACCAGCAGGCAACAGGCACCGCCGAAUUGAGGACAAACAACACUCUCUAUGUCAAGUAACACAGAUGCAUCUACACAGCUAGCUGCUACUGCUAGCUCUGCUUAUCUCCCGAAGCUGCGAUCCCUGUUCUUGGAGCCGGCCGGCACCACGAGGCCGCCCAGCAGGGUCCUUGCGAUCUGCAGCUUGAGCUGCCCCCUCUUGAGCGGCGGCCUCUUCUCCUUGUUACCGCCGCAGCCGUUGUAGGGGUAGCCGUACUCCAUUGCUCCUCUGCUUUGCUUCCUUGCUCUACCGCUGGGCGCAGGGCGCUCGGUCAGUGAGUGAGCAGCUGCUAGUUCCCGGUGGCCUGAGCUGCUGAUGUUGGGGAAGGCGAGAGCUGGAUUGCUUGCUUGAGGAGGGAGCGUGCAGGUGCAUUUUUAUAGCCGAAGUUCUCAGACAUGUGACAUCGCUGGGGAAGGUGGAAACGCGCGUUUCUUCUUUGUUUACUUCGGGUGCUGGGGUCCGGGAAUAAAGUUCACAUUGUUUUGAGCCAUGUGCAUGGUGGUUACCUCUAUUGCAACUUGUGAGUGAGUGGGAGCACGGAGCAGCU